Long non-coding RNA from Etheostoma spectabile (orangethroat darter), 679 nucleotides. RefSeq lists it as uncharacterized. The transcript has 2 exons. Lineage: Eukaryota; Metazoa; Chordata; Actinopteri; Perciformes; Percidae. The record is from RefSeq and is a predicted model, not a curated record.
AAUUACCUUAUUUUCAGGAGAAGCUUGCAGGCAAUCUGGGGGAACUUGGAGGCAUAAAGUCAAAAUGACAAAAUAAUUCAUCAGAAUACUUACCAAAAGUUGCUCCUGCUCCUACGCUCAUGGACAGCUCCUACUCAUGCUCUCGCUCUCGGUCUCUGCCAGAUUGAAUGAUUGAGAUUUCUCUUGCACAGCUACCAGAAGACUUACAACUUUCAGACACGUUGCUCACGUCACAUCUAUGUCGUCGCUUUGUCCAUUUCUUAUACUUUCUAUGUUGUGAACAUAACUCACCUGGGUCCAUGUAAGACGUCCUCAAGUCAGCGUUAGAUCCACUUGUCCAUCUUUAAAAUUCUCUCUCUGUAUUUCUCAGUAUGACUGUGUUCAGUAACUGCUGUCAUCCGGUGACUUUCGCACGCAGAAAGAGCCCAAUAUGUUUUUUUAUUCCUCCGUGUCCUCCUUGGCUACUAGCAACUGCGUCAUUACUUAGAAUUCCUUAUGGGGGGGGGGGGGGGGGGACACAGAAACUACGCACUGUAGCUUUAAGACUGCGCCUGCAUCUAGGCAGGAUCAAGACAUCCUUUCUGAGGAGUGAAUUUUCCAAAUCUUGUAUUGUGAGUUUAUCAUCUGUGUAAGACAUUUGGACUCUUUGAUUAAAUGAAAAUAAAACAAUGUAAUGCUU